This 789-nucleotide ribosomal RNA is filed under the name uncultured bacterium. Its description in RNAcentral is "bacterial SSU rRNA". It matches the Rfam family "Bacterial small subunit ribosomal RNA", at positions 8 to 796 of the family's 1533-position model. The record is from RNAcentral.
AGAGUUUGAUCAUGGCUCAGAUUGAACGCUGGCGGCAUGCCUUACACAUGCAAGUCGAACGGUAACGCGGGGCAACCUGGCGACGAGUGGCGAACGGGUGAGUAAUAUAUCGGAACGUGCCCAGUAGUGGGGGAUAGCCCGGCGAAAGCCGGAUUAAUACCGCAUACGACCUACGGGUGAAAGCGGGGGAUCGCAAGACCUCGCGCUAUUGGAGCGGCCGAUAUCAGAUUAGGUAGUUGGUGGGGUAAAAGCCUACCAAGCCGACGAUCUGUAGCUGGUCUGAGAGGACGACCAGCCACACUGGGACUGAGACACGGCCCAGACUCCUACGGGAGGCAGCAGUGGGGAAUUUUGGACAAUGGGCGCAAGCCUGAUCCAGCCAUGCCGCGUGCGGGAAGAAGGCCUUCGGGUUGUAAACCGCUUUUGUCAGGGAAGAAAUCUUCUGGGCUAAUACCCCGGGAGGAUGACGGUACCUGAAGAAUAAGCACCGGCUAACUACGUGCCAGCAGCCGCGGUAAUACGUAGGGUGCGAGCGUUAAUCGGAAUUACUGGGCGUAAAGCGUGCGCAGGCGGUUAUGCAAGACAGAUGUGAAAUCCCCGGGCUCAACCUGGGAACUGCAUUUGUGACUGCAUGGCUGGAGUGCGGCAGAGGGGGAUGGAAUUCCGCGUAGCAGUGAAAUGCGUAGAUAUGCGGAGGAACACCGAUGGCGAAGGCAAUCCCCUGGGCCUGCACUGACGCUCAUGCACGAAAGCGUGGGGAGCAAACAGGAUUAGAUACCCUAGUAGUCC